This 1054-nucleotide long non-coding RNA is filed under the name Gossypium barbadense (sea-island cotton). Its description in RNAcentral is "long non-coding RNA (GBAR_LNC021521)". Lineage: Eukaryota; Viridiplantae; Streptophyta; Magnoliopsida; Malvales; Malvaceae. The record is from RNAcentral.
AUUGAGGGUUGCGUCAACAUAAAGCAUCUGGUAUCCGACUCCAUGAUUAAAUAUUUGCAGCAGCUCAAAUGCUUGGAAGUAAGUGAAUGCAAAUGCAUGUAGGAGAUAAUAUCAAUGGAGAAGCAGAUCGAAGAAGCAUUCUAAAACAGAGGAUUAAUUUGCUUCCCUCGAUUGAACUCCCUCAAAUUGAAAGAUCUUCAGAAACUCAUUGGAUUUUUCCAUGAAGAUUAUACUGUUGACUUCCCAGCCUUAAAGAUUCUUGAGAUAGAAAACAGUCCAGACUUGAAGGCAUUCAUCCAUAAAUCUAUCGACAAAGAUAACCCUACUGGUGGAGUUUUGUUCAACGAAAAGGUACUAUUUUUAACGCAGUGAAUUGUACCUUAUUUUCAUUUCUCUUGUUAUAAUUAACUCUUCUAAUCAUUUCUUCCACAGACAUGAAUACUGACAUCAACUAUAUUACUUCUGUUAAAUUCACCAUCUCUAAACAACAUAAAUUCAAGGAUUAACUAAACAUAACAAUAAAAAGAAUUUAAAACCCCAAAAAGAACAAAUCUUGCAGAGACCCAAAAUUAAAAAAAAAGGAAACAUGAUUACAUAUGGCUUGUAAAUUGAAGGUUUAGUUGACCUGUAAUGAAUAUGGAUUUCCAUUGAAAUAAAUUGAAGCCUUGAGUGGAGCCUGGAAAGAAUCAAAAAUGGCGAUAACUAGGCGCAGGCAAGGCAACCAAGAAGAGGAAUAAAUUAGGAGGAAUUGAAAGCUUAAAAACCUAAAACACUAACCUGUAAAUGACCAAAUCCGGGCACAGUGCGAUGAAGAAGAAGCUGUAAUCAGAAAAGGGGAAACCGAUUACAUGCAGAAUCAGUAGAGUGAAACAAAUCUGGAGGGGAUUAACUUACCAACAAGGAAAUCGGCAGAGGCUAGAAGGAACAGAAGAGAAACGGGGAAGCAGAUGGGAGGGUAUAACAGGGAUGGUAAACCUAUGCGGCGCCUAAUCUGAGCAAAUGGGGUGUAUUAGAAAUCGGUGGAUUUCACCGAUUAGGUUAGUAUUGUAUUACA